GACGAACGCUGGCGGCGUGCUUAACACAUGCAAGUCGAACGGAAAGGCCCUGCUUUUGUUGGGUGCUCGAGUGGCGAACGGGUGAGUAACACGUGAGUAACCUGCCCUGGACUUUGGGAUAACUUCAUGAAACUGGAGCUAAUACCGUAUAGGAUCUCCUGCUGCAUUGUGUGGGUUGGUAAGUGUCGGCGGUUGGGGAUGUACUCGCGGCUUACCAGCUUGUUGGUGGGGUAGGGGCUUACCAAGGCUUUGACGGGUAGCCGGCCUGAGAGGGUGACCGGCCACAUUGGGACUGAGAUACGGCCCAGAAUCCUACGGGAGGCAGCAGUGGGGAAUAGUGCACAAUGGGCGGAAGCCUGAUGCAGCAACGCCGCGUGCGGGAUGACGGCCUUCGGGUUGUAAACCGCUUUCGCCUGUGACGAAGCGUGAGUGACGGUAAUGGGUAAAGAAGCACCGGCUAACUACGUG
This 468-nucleotide ribosomal RNA is filed under the name uncultured bacterium. RNAcentral describes it as "partial 16S ribosomal RNA". It matches the Rfam family "Bacterial small subunit ribosomal RNA", at positions 28 to 507 of the family's 1533-position model. The record is from RNAcentral.